GUCUACGGCCAGGCCACCCUGAACAAGCCUGAUUCCGUCUGAUCUUGGAAGUUAAGCAUGGUCUGGUUAGUACUGGGAUGGGAGACCACCUAGAAGACCAGUGCUGUAAGCU
Molecule: ribosomal RNA, 112 nt
Filed under: Pteropus vampyrus (large flying fox)
Lineage: Eukaryota; Metazoa; Chordata; Mammalia; Chiroptera; Pteropodidae
Source: RNAcentral